Molecule: ribosomal RNA, 500 nt
Filed under: uncultured bacterium
Lineage: Bacteria
Description: bacterial SSU rRNA
Rfam family: Bacterial small subunit ribosomal RNA
Source: RNAcentral
GAUGAACGCUAGCGGGAGGCCUAACACAUGCAAGUCGAGGGGUAACAUUGUCUUCGGACAGAUGACGACCGGCGCACGGGUGCGUAACGCGUAUGCAACCUACCUCUAACAGGGAGAUAGCCCAGAGAAAUUUGGAUUAAUACCCCAUAGUAUUAUAAUAUCGCAUGAUAUAAUAAUUAAAGAUUUAUCGGUUAGAGAUGGGCAUGCGUGACAUUAGCUAGAUGAAGAGGUAACGGCUCCCCAUGGCAACGAUGUCUAGGGGUUCUGAGAGGAUGAUCCCCCACACUGGUACUGAGACACGGACCAGACUCCUACGGGAGGCAGCAGUGAGGAAUAUUGGUCAAUGGGCGCAAGCCUGAACCAGCCAUCCCGCGUGAAGGAAGAAGGUUCUAUGGAUUGUAAACUUCUUUUAUAUACCAAGAAUAGUUUCUACGUGUAGGAAUAUGACGGUAGUAUAUGAAUAAGCAUCGGCUAACUCCGUGCCAGCAGCCGCGGUAAUA